RNAcentral lists this transfer RNA (72 nucleotides) under Camelus bactrianus (Bactrian camel). It matches the Rfam family "tRNA". From Rfam's summary of the family: Transfer RNA (tRNA) molecules are approximately 80 nucleotides in length. Lineage: Eukaryota; Metazoa; Chordata; Mammalia; Artiodactyla; Camelidae. The record is from Rfam by way of RNAcentral. RNAcentral also lists the same sequence under 2 other names.
GUGGGUAUAGCUCAGUGGUAGAGCAUGUGCUUAGCAUACACAAGGUCCUGGGUUCAAUCUCCAGCACCACCA